This 23-nucleotide ribosomal RNA is filed under the name Phytophthora capsici. RNAcentral's name for it is "partial 18S ribosomal RNA". The record is from RNAcentral. Lineage: Eukaryota; Oomycota; Peronosporomycetes; Peronosporales; Peronosporaceae.
GUGAACUGCGGGAAGGAUCAUUA